GCCGGGACUUCUUUACCGGGUACCGUCAUUAUCUUCCCCGGCGAAAGAGCUUUACGACCCUAGGGCCUUCGUCACUCACGCGGCAUGGCUAGAUCAGGGUUUCCCCCAUUGUCUAAGAUUCCCC
This 124-nucleotide ribosomal RNA is filed under the name uncultured bacterium. RNAcentral's name for it is "partial 16S ribosomal RNA". The record is from RNAcentral.